GGGGAUGUAGCUCAGUGGUAGAGCGCUUGCCUAGCAAACGCAAGGCCCUGGGUUCGGUCCCCAGCUCCG
Non-coding RNA from Rattus norvegicus (Norway rat), 69 nucleotides. Lineage: Eukaryota; Metazoa; Chordata; Mammalia; Rodentia; Muridae. The record is from Rfam.